RNAcentral lists this long non-coding RNA (4378 nucleotides) under Homo sapiens (human). RNAcentral describes it as "long non-coding RNA NONHSAT155741.1". The record is from RNAcentral. Lineage: Eukaryota; Metazoa; Chordata; Mammalia; Primates; Hominidae.
CUGCUUUCAUUUUCCCUUGGCUGAGGAAACGAUGGUUUGGUUUUGCAAAGGAAUGCUGGGGACUUCUGCCAGCUUGCUAACGGCCUUGCCCCAUUCAGAUGCAUCGAACUCACAGAACAUCGCUCCCCAGCUGCUGGCUCGCGGUUCUGAGAGUGCCUGAAUAGAAAACCACUCAUUUCCCUUCGCAAAAGAGGCGCCCAAAGCAGAUAUUUCAAUAUAUUCCAAUUUAGCCGAGGGAAGCCAGAACAUGGAUGUUGUUGCCAAGGAAACCACCUCCUUCCUCCUGUGUGCUGUGCAUACGUGUAUCACUUCAUCUCUCUGCUCUCCAAGGUUGAAUCUAGAUCUGACGUGGAUAUCCUGCCACAGUUCCGAAGUCUACCUAGUGCCCCAGCCGAACCUGCCCUGGCUCCUAGGUGGGGUAUGGACAUCUGUGACAUCCCUCCCCAACACCCCACCAAGCUGGGCUGCAAGACGGGUUAUGGUGGCCCCAUGACUUCCUUCCUUGGUAAGCCACAGGACUUCCUUGUUAACUGCUUUGCUGUUGGUCAUUGCAGAGAAAUAGGGAACAAUAAAAACAACCUGAGGUGUGGCAAAGGCUCUAGGACUGCAUCAUCUGCUGAAGCUCCAGUCCCUGCGCUGCAUCUCCUGAGUGGCAUCUGUGAUGGCAAACAAAGGCUCCUUGGGCUUCACGCUCUGCUUUCUUUCUAAGUGGUACUUACCACCCGCUGCAUCCCAGCCUUCUUCUGACCAGCUUCCUCUUCUGAUAGGCUUAUUUCCAUGAAGUUUUUCAGAGUUAGAAGCAUGAACUUUAGAACCAGAUGAUCCCGGUUGGAAUCCAUCUCUGGCACUUGCUAUAUGACCUUGGAUAAGUUACUUAACCUUUCUGUGUCUCAGUUUCUUUUUCUAUAAAAUGGGCAUAAUAAAAUCUAUCUAGCAUAGUUAUUGUAAGGAUUAAGUAAGUUAUUAUAUGCAGAGCUCUUGGUUCACAGUUAGUGCCAUUUAAGCCUUUCUGUCAUUCUUACUGUUACCAUUUUCCUGGCAUGUCAGUCUGAUGAUGCAGACGAGGCAGGAACUUUCGUCUCUGCCUCUCGUGGACUGCCCAAUCAGCUCCACGGAACUCAGCCAUGCCUGCAGUGCUGCAGGCCUCGCUUUGGACUGCUGGAGGCUGAGAAGUCAAUGGAUGUUGCUUGGGCAUUUUGGGGGGUUUCCUUAUGCAGGAGGAAGAUGACAAUCAUUGUGGAAGCAGAAGGUUGUCAUGGAAAUGCACCUGUUCCAAGUCAUUGCACCCUGGGCUCUGGGCUGGCUCUGCACGGGCCUGCCAUGCACUGACUUCAGCUUCAUCUGAGUCAGUGGAAGGCUGGACAAAGGUAGACAUCUUUCCUCACUGCCAGCCUGCCAUUGCGGCUUUCUGUCUCUGGUGUGAACAGGCAAUCGAGCUUUCCUGGUCUCCUGAGCUACUGUGAACGUGGCAGAAGAUAGUGGACUCUGAAUAACAUUGGAAACAACUACUUCCUGGACGGCCACUGUGUGCAUGGCCUGCGGGAGGGUGAGGGCAAGAGGACUGAUGGUUACUGGGAAUCUUCUUCAUGGCCAGGCUUCUGUGUGUCCUCUCACUUAAUCCUCCAACAGCACUGUGAGGAAAAUACAGCAUCCCACCUCACAGGCGAGGAAGCUUAAGUUGAAGGAAUGUUAAAUUGCCUGCUCUGAGCCUCACAGCCGGGAGGUGACAGCCCCAGGAUUGGCGGCCAGGGUUUGUCUGCCUUUAAAACUUAUGUCAUGUCCUUCUGUGUUAUCUCGGUCUGUACAGGCUGCUACAGCAAAAUACCAUAGCCUGGGUAGUUUAUGAACAACAGAAAUUUAUUUCUCAUAGUUCUGGAGCCUGGAAGUCCAAGAUCAAGGCUCUCGCAGGUUCAGUGUUCGGUGAGGACCCACUUCCUUAUUCAUAGACGUCCCCUUCUCACUGUGGCCUCACAGCAAGGGGUCAGGGUUCUCUCUGGGGCCUCUUUAAAUAGGGUCACCAAUCCCAUUCAUGAGGGCUGUACCCCCAUGACCUAAUCCCCUCCCAAAGGCCCCACUUCCCCAUACCAUCACCUUGGGGGUUAGGAUUCUAACAUGAAUUUUGGGGGGACACAGGCAUUCUGAUCAUAGCAUAUGUGUAGUUGCUCCUGGCCCGCUGGGGAAAUCACCGUCUCCAAGCAUGGCUCCCAUCUGGUUACCCUGGGUGGCCAAGGUCAGCAGAGGUGCUUUGCCAACUGAUUGGCACCCACACUACUUCUGUCCAGGUGGGCUGGGGCGAGGGUUGGGUCACAGUGGGACUCUGUGGGGCUCCGGGGACUGUCAGCUGCCCCGGGGCUGGAGGUCCUGCUGCUCUGUGCCCAUAGGCACCUCCUGGGAAUCUGGCGACUUGCAUCAGGGCCCGGAACUCACCCUGACAGUUCUUUCAGCUCUUGUCUUUUCCUCCCCUACCUACCUGCUCAUCUCGCUUUCACACACAAAGCCUCCCCUGCACUCCCCGCUCCCCUCCUCAAUCCCUUUCCCGGCUUUUGUACUUUAUGAUGCCGUGACUUGGGUGAGGAAACUCAUUAAAGUCAUUAUUCCGUGCACAGAAAUGUGUCUUUCAUCCCAUUCAUAUUUAAUGUUCCUCCCACUUGAUCUUUUGAUGCUUUUUAAUUCUUGAUAUUACAUGACAUACACACACAGUCCUUCCUCCUGUGACAAGGCAUCCUGAAGAAACCAAGGCCCAGGGACUUCAAGCAACCAUAAGCAACAGCCAAUAAGCAGAAGAGCCUCUUCUGCACUGACUUGUAUGGACUUCCAGCCUUGCUCAUUUUCCUUUUGCAGCCUCAACCUUAUCUAGAUUUUAAGAGACAGCCCUUUUUGUACUUCCUCCCACCCCGCACCCUCACCUCUUACUCUUAUUAAGUUUAAAGUGCAAAAAUGAUGCAAUUAAAACCUAUAUUGCCUCUCGACCGCUUAGUCUUGGGGGACCCUGGAGUGAGGAGAAUGAAUACCGCCCCUGCCCUUAUGGAACAGCAGUGGGGAGCGCCUGUGGAAUAGGGGAGUGAGAUGGAUUAUAGAAGUCUUGGGGGAAAUCCAAGAAGGUUCAAAGUGAGGGCCGUGUUCAGGCUAAAAUGCUUACUAUCUGGUCCUUUACAGAAAAAGUUUGCCAACUCCUGCUCUAGAUUGAUGGUUACAAAGUCUGACAGAGGAUACAGUUACAGGGACAUGGCAAAGCCAGAAAAACGAGGACCGGGAGUCCAGCUUUCAACAAAGCCAAUCUAUUCAAUCUCCAGACUACCCUUUGUACCAAGGAAGUCACGGGGUGACUCCAAGCAGGGCCCCCUUUGCAUUCAGCCUGCCCUUCUCUCAGCCCAGGUAAGUUAAGAGACUGGAGACACAGAGAGGCUCCAGAACUUACCCAAGGUCACACAGCUUCUAAAUGGGUGUUGUUGGAACCUACUUUCAGAGACCUGAUUCCAAAACCCUCACUGAUACUUUCCGUGAGUCCAGAUGAAGAGAGGGCUUCAAGGAAAAUCCAUUCAGUGCCAGGAUGCUACCAGCUCCCUGGGGCAUGGGACUGCCAUCCUCUCCUAGGCGUCUGUCCUGAUACUUCCAAUGUAAGUGUGGAAAAACUCAAGUUUCAUAAGUUUUGCUCAUGUGCUCUGCCUUGGAGAGGGUGGGAAGUAGAACAGACACUGGCCUCAUGUUUUGCUGUUGGUUACCUCUCAGGCAUGUGAUCCUUGUACCGGAGGUUUCACAUCACGUAGCCCCUGCACAGCUGAUCUGUGAAUGGGAAAUUGGGUUGGGCCAUCACCAGGUCCCCUUCCAGUUAAAUAUUUGUCCCAAGUCCCAGAUGAUUUGAUAUGAGAGCCCCAUGCCUAAUGCUGUUUGUGGAUUCAUUGAAUCAAUUAUUGUUUCGUUCAUUCAAUUCAUUCAACAAAUAGCUUCUCUGUGUCUACUACUAUUUGCACUCAAUUCUCAGAGAAGUAAAUGUCUAAAGUACCCACUUAAUAACUUAAAAGCUGAUUUUACCAAUUUCAUUUCACUGUAAGGCCUCCCAAAGGAUUAACAUGUUAGUGUGCACCCCCUCUCGCACCAGCAUGCUGGCACCAGAUGAGCUGCUGCAGACUCAUGAGGAAAGAGUCAAGACAGGCUCUUUGAAACCUCCCUCUCCAGGCAUGCCACGUGAACAGAAGUUCCAGGAGACAGAAGAGAGGGGUGACAAGAAAUUGCCCUGAUCAAACUGCCACAGUGACACACCAUGAAAAACACACAGAGAUUGGCUCUGUGGCAAUGGCAUCAUACCCAGGUCACAGGUGCAAAUUUGGUGCAGCAAAGCAGCAUUAAAUAUUUUGCAUUAAAUUGAUGUUAAUUUGCU